This 253-nucleotide ribosomal RNA is filed under the name uncultured bacterium. RNAcentral describes it as "partial 16S ribosomal RNA". It matches the Rfam family "Bacterial small subunit ribosomal RNA", at positions 524 to 776 of the family's 1533-position model. The record is from RNAcentral.
UACGGAGGGAGCUAGCGUUGUUCGGAAUUACUGGGCGUAAAGGGCUCGUAGGCGGCCAACUAAGUCAGACGUGAAAUCCCUCGGCUUAACCGGGGAACUGCGUCUGAUACUGGAUGGCUUGAAUCCGGGAGAGGGAUGCGGAAUUCCAGGUGUAGCGGUGAAAUGCGUAGAUAUCUGGAGGAACACCGGUGGCGAAGGCGGCACCCUGGACCGGCAUUGACGCUGAGGAGCGAAAGCCAGGGGAGCAAACGGG